This 381-nucleotide ribosomal RNA is filed under the name uncultured Pseudomonas sp. Its description in RNAcentral is "bacterial SSU rRNA". It matches the Rfam family "Bacterial small subunit ribosomal RNA", at positions 1002 to 1382 of the family's 1533-position model. The record is from RNAcentral. Lineage: Bacteria; Pseudomonadati; Pseudomonadota; Gammaproteobacteria; Pseudomonadales; Pseudomonadaceae.
AGAGAUGGAUUGGUGCCUUCGGGAACUCUGACACAGGUGCUGCAUGGCUGUCGUCAGCUCGUGUCGUGAGAUGUUGGGUUAAGUCCGUACGAGCGCAACCCUGUCCUUAGUUACCAGCACGUUAUGGUGGGCACUCUAAGGAGACUGCCGGUGACAAACCGGAGGGAAGGUGGGGGAUGACGUCAAGUCAUCAUGGCCCUUACGGCCUGGGCUACACACGUGCUACAAUGGUCGGUACAAAGGGUUGCCAAGCCGCGAGGUGGAGCUAAUCCCAUAAAACCGAUCGUAGUCCGGAUCGCAGUCUGCAACUCGACUGCGUGAAGUCGGAAUCGCUAGUAAUCGUGAAUCAGAAUGUCACGGUGAAUACGUUCCCGGGGCCUU